Molecule: long non-coding RNA, 2019 nt
Organism: Ictalurus punctatus (channel catfish)
Lineage: Eukaryota; Metazoa; Chordata; Actinopteri; Siluriformes; Ictaluridae
Source: Ensembl
GCUAUAUUAAGCCCUGUACUGUACAUUGCAGCAUACGAGAAAGACUGUAACCUCCGAACAUGUUGACCAGGUAAUAAGAUAUUCUUGUAUGAUUCUAUUGUUGUAUUGUAAAUGUAUAUUAUGCUGUAAUGAACUCUAAGAUGAUUAAUUGUGAAUUGCUUGUGAUUAAUGUUUGUCAUAGCAUUUGUAAUUGAAUUAAUGUGCUUUAUUUAUUUCUUCAUCACGUGCUAUGCAGAUAUUAAGUUCACAGAAUGAUUGACGAGCUGCUAUGUUGACGUUUUCCAUUCUGUUUGGACUGAUGCUUAUACUGGCAGUAUAGCAUGUGUCAGGAUACAUAACUAUUCUACUAGACAGUAUACUUGAAUUCCGCGGGAUAGUAUAAUGAAACUCUACAUAAUAAAACUCUGUAUAUGUCAGGCAUUAACUGUGUAAAUGAAGACUGUUGUUUACAAAACAAUUCUUCUCUGAUGCUGAUAGACAUACUGCAUAAUGAAAUCGUGUAUUACACUGUCAACCAUGAAUUAACUUAUUCAGUGUGCCUUCUGAAUCUUAGGUAAGAAUGAAAAAUACAUAUUCACAUCCCUCUGGUCUCACAUCUUAAAUGUCUCUUGGUGUCCAGAGUGAAUUGUGUCAACACUGUAAAAGUGCAUGUUCCUGACUCUGAACAUGUUUCUCCAAAAAUGUGUUCCUCCAUCCAGGUCCAGCAUGGAUGACUAAUAUAAACGAUGUCAGUUCCGAAUUUUUAGAGUGUGGCACUAAAUGACAUUCACAGUUUGAAUAUCAGAUUGACUUUCAUAAUAUAUCAGAACGUUGUUGUAUUUUAAUAAUCCAGGAACAUUAUCAUCUUCUGGACACUAGCAGUGCUGCUGGUUGAAGCAGACCUAGAUGCAGGUCUUCAAGCCAUGUCUACAGGAACAGAUCAGGACUCCACCUCUGAUGAGGCUCCAACUGAAAGCAUGAACUCUGUGUCACCUGACCAGCCCAACGAUGAGCCACAGCAUUAUAAUGGCGCCACAGCUGACGCGAGCAGCACGAGUGCAGAAGCAGGUCAGGCUGCUGGGCCUCAAGUCAAUGAUGUGACAGCAGCUGAUGGAGCCAAAUCCAGCACUGAAGAACAAGACGAGAAUGAGAGUCCAGAGUCAGAAGAAGUGGUGAAGGCAGCUCCAGUGCAGCGCGCUACUAAAUCACAAACUGCAAACCAACGCAAGCGCAGUAAGCCCGUUGUGGCCUCCAAAAAGAGGACGAGACCCCUUCGCCCGUGAAAAAAAGGCCUACGAAGUACGCACAUUGAGGAUGCAGGACUACGAUGAGAGGAAAGAAUGAAGCAAUCCUGUAUUACGUGGCAUUUUGUUUAUUGCUUUAUUUUUAUUUUGUUGCUUUAUUUCAAUAACCACGAUUUAGAUGUGAUUCUGUUGUGAUGUACUGUACUGACUGUUUUUGUUUGUUUGCUUAUGGUUCUAUUUGUUGUGAAACUAGCAUUCAGCACAGUCUCAAGGGUGUUUCUCAAUUAAAUCACUCUUCAAAUACGGGGACAAAGCUUGUCAGUCAGGGGUUAAUUCAUAAACAAGACAGCCAACAUCAUCUCAGAUUACAGUCAGGCUUUUGUGGUAGAAGUCUAUUUCGGAUUGGAAUAUAACAUUCUAGGUGUUAACAUUUAUCAUCAGGAAAAUACCAAACAUCUCUCAGAUGCCCGGACUUGAUCAUGCUAUAUUUUCACUGGUGCUGGUUACAUGAAUACCGUGUGUUCAGACUAGCCAUAGCUUCUUAGGAACAGUAGUUAAAAUUUUUUGUUUGUUUGUUUUUGUUUAUUUUUUUUAUUAUUUUUUUUACAACAGAAACGUUGCAAAAGCUUGCUUUCAACACAAACUCAGUGUUUAAAGUGUUUCUUUCUUUUGUGAUUGAUCAUAUUUUUUAAAAAAUAAGAAACAGUAUUUAUCUUUAUUAAAUAUAAUUUUCCAAUAUCAAAAUCAUGAAUGUGUUAUUCAUAAAUAAUUCUUUCUAUAUAUUUGAUGACCGAAU